GCCAAUCUGUUCUGCAUGAGAAAUGACUCUACUUGCUAGAGCUAACAAUUCCAAACUAUUUAUGUUGGUGUUUUUUUUUGUUGUUGUUUUUAAUUUAUUUUGUUUUGUGGGAAGGGAAGGGAAGGGCAGGGCAGGGCAGGGCAGGGCAGGGCAGGGCAGGGCAGGGCAGGGCAGGGCAGGGCAGGGCAGGGAAGGGAAGGGAAGGGAAGGGAAGGGAAGGGAAGGGAAGGGAAGGGAAGGGAAGGGAAGGGAAGGGAAGGGAAGGGAAUCCUUCAUUUCUUAACGAUUUGUUUUUUAAAUGAAUAUAGCCAAAUAUGUCAAACUAAUUCUGUAAUCCUUAAACUACAUUAGACAACAGAUGGUAGAUGGAACAUGAAUGGAAGAACAUAUUUGAUUACAUUAUAAAUCCAUUCAAGUUUGUCAAUUUUCAAAUUUAGUUAUAAAGCUAAAUAUUUCUGGGCACAACUUCCUAUAUUUAAGAGCCCUGUGAUAUCAACACCGUUUUCAGAGAUCUUUACAUCAGCAAUAUCAAGUCUGGUCAGCAACCAGCUCCUUUUAAAUGAUCAGUAAGAGACCUAUUCCGUGUUAAAGGAACACCAAAACAUUCAUGAAUUCCAGAUCAUUUAUAUGGUCAUUUAUACUUCUUACAGUUUUGUUUGUUUGUUUUCUUUCAAGUACUGUUCUCUCUUCACACUGUGCAUAAGUGUACAUUAAUGACACUGAAAAUGAGUGCAACAGACUUCACUAUUUCUGAAGUCAAGAGGAUGAACAUGUUUUAAAAAAAAAAAAGGAAGAAAAAAAAAAGAGUAUAAGCUCUUCUUAUUUCUUACUGUUUUGUUGUUGUUGUUUGCUUGCUUUUUGUGUUUUGUUGUUGUUGUUUUGAGAUAGUAUAAACCCCUGAGAAAUAAGGACAAAACUACAACAACAACAACAAUUUAAUUUUAAACAAAAGACAUUUUAAUCUAUUAUUAGAUGGUGAUCAAUUCAGAGUCAUAUCUUGGUCACAAUUUUAAUGAAGCACUUUGACUAACAAGCAAUGAAAAAAUAUAAAUCCAUGUUGUGGGGAGGCUACCUCUAGCAUAUUUUACAUGGCAAAAUUGUAUUACAAAUAAGUAUCUAUAUUUGCAUUGUAUAAUCCGUAUAUUGUUCAUGGUACAAUUUUUUAAAACAUGUCAAAUAACAUAUUUUGUGUUCACUGAUUGUUUUCUACAUAAUUUUUAGCUUACUUUCACAUAUCUAUACAGCUAUCUUGAGCCAUUCCUUCUUUUGUUUAAAAUUUAUUCUAGCACUAUGACUGAAAAGAACUACCACAAUCGUGGGAUGUUAUUUAAAAUCGGCAAAGGCUAAACUGACAGCUUGGGCAAAAUGCAAAUCGCUAAGAAGUUUGUCAUAGAAAGGAGUGUAAACAGAUGGUUUGGAGUGAGCUGAAGUAUUGUUGAAUUUCUAUUUUGGGAUGAUGGAAAAGCUCCUAUUUAAGAUUAUUUUAAUGGAAAGAAGCAAAAUACUGACUUUAAAAAGUCUUCUGUAUGCUAGAUCAUGGGAGAUGAAUGAACUUUUUCAUAAAUUUUACUUGAAGUGCUUUGCUAAGAUCCUGCAGCUGGUCAUGAAAUGCUGGGUCCUUGCAUCUGCAUGCAGCACUCCAAUGUUCUGUAGAGAUAUGGAGGAAAGGCACCAUAUUUCUGGGGGAGAACAAGAAUAAAAAUCACCUCAUCUUUGCUACUGCCCUCA
Long non-coding RNA from Anser cygnoides (Swan goose), 1728 nucleotides. The record is from Ensembl. NCBI's taxonomy places the organism in Eukaryota, Metazoa, Chordata, Aves, Anseriformes, Anatidae.